Molecule: ribosomal RNA, 695 nt
Filed under: uncultured bacterium
Lineage: Bacteria
Description: bacterial SSU rRNA
Rfam family: Bacterial small subunit ribosomal RNA
Source: RNAcentral
AACGCGUGAGUAACCUGCCUUUCAGAGGGGGAUAACGUUCUGAAAAGAACGCUAAUACCGCAUAAGAUUGUAGUUUCGCAUGGAGCAGCAAUCAAAGGAGCAAUCCGCUGAAAGAUGGACUCGCGUCCGAUUAGAUAGUUGGCGGGGUAACGGCCCACCAAGUCGACGAUCGGUAGCCGGACUGAGAGGUUGAUCGGCCACAUUGGGACUGAGACACGGCCCAGACUCCUACGGGAGGCAGCAGUGAGGGAUAUUGGGCAAUGGGGGAAACCCUGACCCAGCAACGCCGCGUGAGGGAUGACGGUUUUCGGAUUGUAAACCUCUGUCCUCUGUGAAGAUAGUGACGGUAGCAGAGGAGGAAGCUCCGGCUAACUACGUGCCAGCAGCCGCGGUAAUACGUAGGGAGCAAGCGUUGUCCGGAUUUACUGGGUGUAAAGGGUGCGUAGGCGGAUUGGCAAGUCAGAAGUGAAAUCCAUGGGCUUAACCCAUGAACUGCUUUUGAAACUGUUAGUCUUGAGUGACGUAGAGGUAGGCGGAAUUCCCGGUGUAGCGGUGAAAUGCGUAGAGAUCGGGAGGAACACCAGUGGCGAAGGCGGCCUACUGGGCUUUAACUGACGCUGAGGCACGAAAGUGUGGGUAGCAAACAGGAUUAGAUACCCUGGUAGUCCACACUGUAAACGAUGAUUACUAGGUGU